AGCCAACCAAAGGUCCUCCUGGUUUGAAAAUGCCUUUGCGGAAGAUGUGAAAGAAAACAGCCCAAUAUGAUGCCAGUUUCAAAAGUGCAGACAACACCUUUUUCUCUGCUUGAGUGAAGAGUGACAUCUUGCCAGUCUGCUGUGCUUUGAUAUACUGAGGCUUUUGCCAUCGCUCCAUUGGAGGAGGGGAGACAAGGAGGUGGCUGAGGAAUGGAUGUGCCCAAAUGAGAGGUUCAUCAAAAGUAUCGUCAAAGCUUUUAUACUUGAAUUACUGAUUACACUUAUUCACGUUGGUGACGUUAUAUUAAAACAUGCAAUGGGCUGAAAAGACACAUUUCUCAUAUGCACCGGGAAUUUGGCAAUAGGAAUAAUUAUCGUUGAAACAUGGGAGAAGAUGAAAAAUUGCUACAA
This is a long non-coding RNA of Osmerus eperlanus (European smelt), 411 nucleotides long. RefSeq lists it as uncharacterized. The record is from RefSeq and is a predicted model, not a curated record. The transcript is spliced from 3 exons. Lineage: Eukaryota; Metazoa; Chordata; Actinopteri; Osmeriformes; Osmeridae.